GCGUAAAGCCGUAAAGGAUGGUGGUGAAACUUUGUCAUUCGUUGAUUGCGAUUUGCGAGUAACCUUUGUUUCUUUCCUCAGCGACCUCGAAGUAGGGUUUGCAGGAACCAUUUUUGCCGGUUUUGGAAAUUCAGACUCGCGGACAAUACCAAGGUUUUUUAGUUCAUCGAUCAUCAAAAAUCAAACCUUCUAAAUCGUCGGUUCUUUGGUUGAAGACAAAAGUAUGUCGGGCAGAAAUCGUGCACCGCCGCUUCCAAUCAAGGGUCUACCACACCCCGGGCUUCCCCCCAUGCACGAACUUCAAUUCGGUAGGGGUCUUGGUCCCAUGCCUCAUCCAGCCCUCCUUGAAGAAAUGAGAGAAGCUCAAUUCAGAGAAGCUCAAUUCGGGCGAGGCCCAAGACCUCUACCCCCUCACCCUGCCGUCAUCGAGGAGAACCUAGCAGCUCAACAUCAGGAAAUUCAAGGGCUUCUCAUCGAUAACCAGAGAUUAGCUGCAACCCAUGUGGCUUUAAAGCAGGAAUUAGAGGCUGCCCAGUAUGAGCUUCAACGCAUGGCUCAUUUUGCUGGUUCUAUGCAGGCCGAUAAGGAUAUUCAGCUUAAAGAAGCUUAUGAGAAGUCCAUGAAAAUGGAAGCUGAUCUUCAUGCAGCAGAGGCUAUGAGGGCGGAGCUUCUGCAAGUUCGCUCUGACAUUCAGAAGCUCACAGUUUCAAGGCAAGAGCUUACUAGUCAGGUUCAGGCGCUCAGUCAAGAUUUGGCUAGAGCUAAUGCGGGAUUGCAGCAAGCACCAGCUUUGAAGGCUGAAAUAGAGACCAUGAAACAGGAAUUGCAGCGAGCUAGGGCUGCUAUUGAUUAUGAGAAGAAAGGGCAUGCUGAAAAUUACGAACAGGGUCAAGCCAUGGAAAAGAAUCUGAUUGCGAUGGCUCGUGAGGUGGAGAAGCUGCGGGCAGAGAUUGCUAAUGCAGAAAAGAGAGCACGUGCUGCUGCUGCUGUUGGAAAUCCUGGUCCAGGUUAUGGUGGGAAUUACGGCAAUCCGGAUACUACAUACGGAGGAAAUCCCUAUCCUGCUGGCUAUGGCAUGAGUCCUGUACAGGCUGGUGCUGAAGGGGGACAUCAAUAUGGAUCUGGGCCUCAAUAUGGACCUGGACCAGGUGCAUGGGGUGCUUAUGACAUGCAGCGAGCUCAUGGACGCAGAUAAACUAGUGUGAUGUUAUGCUGAGUCGUCUUCUCCUUGUUUUGCUAAUCUGCUCCUGGUUUCUUAGGCUACUACUUAGUAGAUGCCCAGGGGAAACCUUCUCCACCCAAAUCUGCUGUUUUACUGGUACCACGUGCUACCUCGACUCCAGCAUCUAGGAGAAAUGGUUGAAAUAAUCUAGUUUUUCGGGAGCGCACUAGUUCUCUGCCAACUUUGAAGAAAUGCUUAAAGCAUUGGGAAAUAGGAAGGGGGGGGGGCAUUGUGCUAAAAUGUACUGUGCACUCACUAACCUAGGCGCCAUACGAAAUUAAAUUUUAAUCACUAGAAAUACCCAGUAGUUACUUUAUUAGCUUAAAUCUGUUCCCAGGUGGCACUGUCUUGGAGUAAUUUUUUUACUGGCACAAUUGCUGGUAUCCCCAAACAAAAUGUGGAAAUUCACAUAACUUUCCUACAAGGAUGAAUCUGAUACCUGUAUUAUGCAUAAGCUCCCAUAGUUUCUUGUGUGUUUUUA
Macadamia integrifolia is the source of this 1703-nucleotide RNA transcript. It is a transcript of the gene named protein FLX-like 1, with no coding region annotated. The record is from RefSeq and is a predicted model, not a curated record. The transcript has 7 exons. NCBI's taxonomy places the organism in Eukaryota, Viridiplantae, Streptophyta, Magnoliopsida, Proteales, Proteaceae.